AGUGAACGCUGGCGGUAGGCCUAACACAUGCAAGUCGAACGGAAGCACAGUAAGAGCUUGCUCUUACGGGUGGCGAGUGGCGGAAGGGUGAGGAAUACAUCGGAAUCUACUUUUUCGUGGGGGAUAACGUAGGGAAAGUUACGAUAAUACCGCAUACGACCUACGGGUGAAAGGAGGGGAUCUUCGGACCUUGCGCGAUUGAAUGAGCCGAUGUCGGAUUAGCUAGUUGGCGGGGUAAAGGCCCACCAAGGCGACGAUCCGUAGCUGGUCUGGGAGGCUGGUCCGCCACACUGGAACUGAGACACGGUCCAGAGUCCUACGGGAGGCAGCAGUGUGGAAUAUUGGACAAUGGGGGCAAGCCUGAUCCAGCCAUCGCGCGUGGGUGAAGAAGGCCUUCCGGUUGUAAAGCCCUUUUGUUGGGAAAGAAAAGCAGCAGGUUAAUACCCCGCUGUUCUGACGGUACCCAAAGAAUAAGCACCGGCUAACUUCGUG
This 492-nucleotide ribosomal RNA is filed under the name uncultured bacterium. RNAcentral's name for it is "partial 16S ribosomal RNA". It matches the Rfam family "Bacterial small subunit ribosomal RNA", at positions 29 to 507 of the family's 1533-position model. The record is from RNAcentral.